CUCGAACCAUCAUGAGAGGUACAGCCUGCCCAGUGACCCAAUGUUCAACGGCCGCGGUAUCCUAACCGUGCGAAGGUAGCGUAAUCACUUGUUCUUUAAAUGAGGACUAGUAUGAAUGGCAUCACGAGGAUUAUACUGUCUCCUUUUUCCAAUCAGUGAAACUAAUCUCCCCGUGAAGAAGCGGGAAUUAUUUUAUAAGACGAGAAGACCCUAUGGAGCUUUAAACUAACCAGCAUUUGCUUUAUAACAUAACUUUUCAGAAACCUAAAAACAACUCAGCUCUUUGACUAUAAGUUUUCGAUUGGGGUGAUCACGGAACAAAAAAUAACCUCCGUGCCGAAAGGACUCUUCCUGAGCCAAAAGUAACAACCUUAAGCACUAAAAAAUUAACGCUCAUUGACCCAAUAAUUUGAUCAACGAAC
Molecule: ribosomal RNA, 422 nt
Filed under: Boana cinerascens group sp. ABGD cluster 21
Lineage: Eukaryota; Metazoa; Chordata; Amphibia; Anura; Hylidae
Description: partial large subunit ribosomal RNA
Rfam family: Archaeal large subunit ribosomal RNA
Source: RNAcentral